AUGCUCACUUCGGCAGCACAUAUACUAAAAUUGGAAGGAUACAGAGAAGAUUAGUAUGGCCCCUGUGCAAGGAUAACAUGCAAAUUCGUGAUGCAUAUCAUGUUUUU
This 107-nucleotide small nuclear RNA is filed under the name Carlito syrichta (Philippine tarsier). Lineage: Eukaryota; Metazoa; Chordata; Mammalia; Primates; Tarsiidae. The record is from RNAcentral.